AGCUCAGUCGGCAGAGCGUUUCCAUGGUAAGGAAAAGGUCGACAGUUCGAUUCUGUCA
Molecule: transfer RNA, 58 nt
Filed under: Candidatus Corynebacterium faecipullorum
Lineage: Bacteria; Bacillati; Actinomycetota; Actinomycetes; Mycobacteriales; Corynebacteriaceae
Description: tRNA-Thr
Rfam family: tRNA
About the family: Transfer RNA (tRNA) molecules are approximately 80 nucleotides in length.
Source: RNAcentral